Molecule: ribosomal RNA, 212 nt
Filed under: Scolecobasidium cordanae
Lineage: Eukaryota; Fungi; Ascomycota; Dothideomycetes; Venturiales; Sympoventuriaceae
Description: Ochroconis cordanae partial large subunit ribosomal RNA
Source: RNAcentral
AAGCGUAUGGGGGCAGACUUGGCCGCGGGGUUCAGGGUGUCUUUUGGCGCCUGUACUUCCCCGUGGGCAGGCCAGCAUCGGUUUUGGGGGUUGGAUAAAGGCGUCGGGAAUGUGGCUCCCCUCGGGGAGUGUUAUAGCCCGUCGCGCAAUGCAGCCACCCGGGAUCGAGGACCGCGCUUCGGCAAGGAUGCUGGCGUAAUGGCCUCAUACGG